RNAcentral lists this ribosomal RNA (253 nucleotides) under uncultured bacterium. RNAcentral describes it as "partial 16S ribosomal RNA". It matches the Rfam family "Bacterial small subunit ribosomal RNA", at positions 524 to 776 of the family's 1533-position model. The record is from RNAcentral.
UACGAAGGGGGCUAGCGUUGCUCGGAAUGACUGGGCGUAAAGGGCGCGUAGGCGGACAUAUUAGUCAGGCGUGAAAUUCCCGGGCUUAACCUGGGGGCUGCGUUUGAUACGGUGUGUCUAGAGUUUGGAAGAGGGUCGUGGAAUUCCCAGUGUAGAGGUGAAAUUCGUAGAUAUUGGGAAGAACACCGGUGGCGAAGGCGGCAAGCUGGUCCAUUACUGACGCUGAGGCACGAUAGCGUGGGGAGCAAACAGG